GUGAAGGCUUAGCAAUCUUCCUACCGCUGUCCAACUCACCCCACAACAGUACAGGAGCAAAUGGAGGCUCCAGAGAAAGGAGCUACAUUGGAGAUGGUGGAUUCCAUGUGCUCAGGAUAUACUUCAAGCCAGGUAACAUGAAAAGCCAGCAUGAUUUCCUUAUGUGGUUGGUAAAAUUGCCCUUUACAACACUGGCAUCCACGUCUAACAAUUUUACAAUGGAUAUUAUAAUGACUUGUCAUCCUACCUGCACUCUAUGACUUGAGAAGGUACAGGACAU
Molecule: long non-coding RNA, 280 nt
Filed under: Rattus norvegicus (Norway rat)
Lineage: Eukaryota; Metazoa; Chordata; Mammalia; Rodentia; Muridae
Description: long non-coding RNA NONRATT033794
Source: RNAcentral